CCCUUAGAUGUCCUGGGCCGCACGCGCGCUACACUGAGUGUCUGAGAUACGAGUCUGCCUGGUCCGGCAAGGUCUAGGUAAUCGCUAAAAGACACAUCAUGCUUGGGAUAGAUUAUUGCAAAUAUUAAUCUUAAACGAGGAAUUCCUAGUAAGCGCAAGUCAACAGCUUGCGUUGAUUACGUCCCUGCCCUUUGUACACACCGCCCGUCGCUACUACUGAUUGGAUGUUUAAGCGAGGUUCUCGAACUGCUAGCGACUUAGCUUCGGUGAGGUCGCAGUGUGGGAAGUGAACCUAGCUUUGGUGUCUAGAGGAAGUAAAAGUCGUAACA
This 329-nucleotide ribosomal RNA is filed under the name uncultured eukaryote. RNAcentral describes it as "partial 18S ribosomal RNA". It matches the Rfam family "Eukaryotic small subunit ribosomal RNA", at positions 1470 to 1796 of the family's 1831-position model. The record is from RNAcentral.